This 253-nucleotide ribosomal RNA is filed under the name uncultured bacterium. Its description in RNAcentral is "partial 16S ribosomal RNA". It matches the Rfam family "Bacterial small subunit ribosomal RNA", at positions 524 to 776 of the family's 1533-position model. The record is from RNAcentral.
UACGUAGGUGGCAAGCGUUGUCCGGAUUUACUGGGCGUAAAGAGCGCGCAGGCGGUCGUUCAAGUCGCGUGUGAAAGCCCCCGGCUCAACUGGGGAGGGUCACGCGAUACUGAUCGACUCGAAGGCAGGAGAGGGUAGUGGAAUUCCCGGUGUAGUGGUGAAAUGCGUAGAUACUGGGAGGAACACCGGUGGCGAAGGCGGCUACCUGGACCGGUUCUGACGCUGAUGCGCGAAAGCGUGGGUAGCAAACAGG